Molecule: non-coding RNA, 30 nt
Filed under: Cricetulus griseus (Chinese hamster)
Lineage: Eukaryota; Metazoa; Chordata; Mammalia; Rodentia; Cricetidae
Source: RNAcentral
AAGACAACGGGAAAUGGAACUCUGCAUGCG